This 458-nucleotide ribosomal RNA is filed under the name uncultured bacterium. Its description in RNAcentral is "partial 16S ribosomal RNA". It matches the Rfam family "Bacterial small subunit ribosomal RNA", at positions 338 to 795 of the family's 1533-position model. The record is from RNAcentral.
CCUACGUGGCAGCAGUGAGGAAUAUUGGUCAAUGGGCGAGAGCCUGAACCAGCCAAGUCGCGUGAAGGAUGACGGCCCUACGGGUUGUAAACUUCUUUUGUCAGGGAGCAAUUGGGUCCACGCGUGGGCUUAUCGAGAGUACCUGAAGAAAAAGCAUCGGCUAACUCCGUGCCAGCAGCCGCGGUAAUACGGAGGAUGCGAGCGUUAUCCGGAUUUAUUGGGUUUAAAGGGUGCGUAGGCGGAAUAUCAAGUCAGCGGUAAAAAUUCGGGGCUCAACCCCGUCGUGCCGUUGAAACUGAUGUUCUAGAGUGGGCGAGAAGUAUGCGGAAUGCGUGGUGUAGCGGUGAAAUGCAUAGAGAUCACGCAGAACUCCGAUUGCGAAGGCAGCAUACCGGCGCCCAACUGACGCUGAAGCACGAAAGCGUGGGUAUCGAACAGGAUUAGAUACCCUGGUAGUC